RNAcentral lists this ribosomal RNA (468 nucleotides) under uncultured bacterium. Its description in RNAcentral is "partial 16S ribosomal RNA". It matches the Rfam family "Bacterial small subunit ribosomal RNA", at positions 28 to 507 of the family's 1533-position model. The record is from RNAcentral.
GACGAACGCUGGCGGCGUGCUUAACACAUGCAAGUCGAACGGAAAGGCCCUGCUUUUGUGGGGUGCUCGAGUGGCGAACGGGUGAGUAACACGUGAGUAACCUGCCCUUGACUUUGGGAUAACUUCAGGAAACUGGGGCUAAUACCGGAUAGGAGCUCCUGCUGCAUGGUGGGGGUUGGAAAGUUUCGGCGGUUGGGGAUGGACUCGCGGCUUAUCAGCUUGUUGGUGGGGUAGUGGCUUGCCAAGGCUUUGACGGGUAGCCGGCCUGAGAGGGUGACCGGCCACAUUGGGACUGAGAUACGGCCCAGACUCCUACGGGAGGCAGCAGUGGGGAAUAUUGCACAAUGGGCGGAAGCCUGAUGCAGCAACGCCGCGUGCGGGAUGACGGCCUUCGGGUUGUAAACCGCUUUCGCCUGUGACGAAGCGUGAGUGACGGUAAUGGGUAAAGAAGCACCGGCUAGCUACGUG